CAAAAAUCACUACUGUGUGUCUACAUGUGCCAAACACAACGACAGACCAGCAAACACAAAAAUGAAUAGCAGCUGGGCUUAAUCUGGCGGACUGCAUGGGAAGGAAUGAUUGGAAGGACGCUCGGAGAUCUGGCUGAUGAAUAUCUGUACUCUGAGAACAGCAAUAAAAGAGGAGACUUGGCCUUUUUGAUAGAAAUGUCAGGAGCAUACAUAGAAGUUACCUCUCCAAGUAUCACACUCCACAGCAGGCCAGAAGCACACAAGGUUUCCAGGUAAAUUAUGUCCUAC
This is a long non-coding RNA of Callorhinus ursinus (northern fur seal), 288 nucleotides long. RefSeq lists it as uncharacterized. The record is from RefSeq and is a predicted model, not a curated record. NCBI's taxonomy places the organism in Eukaryota, Metazoa, Chordata, Mammalia, Carnivora, Otariidae.